GCUCUGAAAACCAUCCACUAACCUCUCAAGUAAUGCAACUGUGAGGGCCUUGGGCCAACUCAUGCCGGACAUAGGGUAUGAAGUGAUUAUUAUAUCAAUGUUAACAUCUUUAGUAGUUGCGUAGCUUCUCCUCUGUAAUAAUAUCAUAGUGGCUUGUUUACCCACCCCAUCUUUCCAAGCAAUAACUCGUCGUCGUCUUCAAUGUUUCUUGGAAGUCCUUCCAAUUCAUAUUUAUAUAUUUUCCUAUCAAUAACACAAAGAAGGAGACAAAACUCUUUUUAAUUAUUUAUUAAUUCUGUGAAAGAACAUGAAAGCCUUGACUAAUCCCUAAGAAAAAUCCUUGAGAGGAUAUUGAUUAAAUGUUGCAGCAAAUUAAAGCAUGAACAAAAAAGCUAGGAUUCUAGAGAACCUUGAUAUAGAGGGUAUCAAAAAUCCUUGAGUCCAUGAGAAAUUUUUUUAUCAUAAGCACCAGACAUAGAUCAAAAAUCUGUGUCAUAAACACCAAACAUCCAGUAUCUUUAUUAGAUUUAUACGGCGAGUACUAAUGUUUUUUUUUAAGUUUAAACACUUCAUAACUGAAAACUUACACUGAGAAGAUGAUGAAUUGAAAAUUGAUCUUUCAUUUAUUUUCCUAUCAACAACUGAACGGAGAUAAUUCUUUUCUUUCUUUUCUUUAAAUCAAAAAAGAAAUCUCUUUUUAUCUUUCUGAAUAAUGAAACUAAGA
Molecule: long non-coding RNA, 724 nt
Filed under: Eutrema salsugineum
Lineage: Eukaryota; Viridiplantae; Streptophyta; Magnoliopsida; Brassicales; Brassicaceae
Description: long non-coding RNA (ESAL_LNC000527)
Source: RNAcentral